AUAUCAGUCAUGCAUAGCAUAUCAAUAAGCGGAGGAAAAGAAACUAACAAGGAUCCCCUUAGUAACGGCGAGUGAAGCGGGAAGAGCUCAAACUUGAAAUCUUCAAGGUUUUACCUUGACGAAUUGUAGUUUAAAGAAGUGUUUUCUGUUGAAGUUUUGGUAAAAGUUCUUUGGAAUAGGACAUCAUAGAGGGUGAGAAUCCCGUAUUUGACCAUUACUUUCAGCUUUGUGAUACACUUUCAAAGAGUCGGAUUGUUUGGGAAUGCAGUCCAAAAUGGGUGGUAAAUUUCAUCUAAAGCUAAAUAUUGGCGAGAGACCGAUAGCGAACAAGUACCGUGAGGGAAAGAUGAAAAGAACUUUGAAAAGAGAGUUAAACAGUACGUGAAAUUGUCAAAAGGGAAGCGUUUGACACCAGUGUUGUUUUCUCGAAAAUCAAUUAAAAAGAGUUGGAUUUUGUGUUGUAUUGACUUUAUCAGCUUUCUUCACUCUUUUCCAGCUUUUUUUAAUGCACUUUUCGUUUAACAAGUCAACAUCAGUUUCUUUUGUUGUAAAAAGGUCAUUGGAAGGUGGCUUUCUCUUCGGAGAAAGUGUUUAUAGCCUUUGACUCAUGCAAUCGGAGAGACUGAGGUCUGCAGCGUAGAUCCUUCGGGGUUAGAUACAUUUGUGCUAAGUUAUAGCUUUUCAUAGACAACUUGUUGACUAUGUUUAGUCUUGUAGCUUACUCGCUUAUGCUAUUUUACCUACGCUUAGGAUGUUGAACUCUAUCACACACAG
RNAcentral lists this ribosomal RNA (774 nucleotides) under uncultured Neocallimastigales. Its description in RNAcentral is "partial large subunit ribosomal RNA". It matches the Rfam family "Eukaryotic large subunit ribosomal RNA", at positions 22 to 621 of the family's 3401-position model. Lineage: Eukaryota; Fungi; Neocallimastigomycota; Neocallimastigomycetes; Neocallimastigales. The record is from RNAcentral.